CCUACGGGAGGCAGCAGUGAGGAAUAUUGGUCAAUGGACGCAAGUCUGAACCAGCCAUGCCGCGUGCAGGAAGACGGCUCUAUGAGUUGUAAACUGCUUUUGUACGAGAGUAAACGCAGAUACGUGUAUCUGUCUGAAAGUAUCGUACGAAUAAGGAUCGGCGCAAUCCGGGGCAGCAGCCGCGGGAAGACGGGGGAUUCAAGCGUUAUCCGGAGUUAUUGGGGUUAAAGGGUGCGUAGGCGGUCGGAGAAGUUAGAGGUGAAAUCCCGAGGCUCAACUUCGGAAUUGCCUCUGAUACUGUUCGGCUAGAGAGUAGUUGCGGUAGGCGGAAUGUAUGGUGUAGCGGUGAAAUGCUUAGAGAUCAUACAGAACACCGAUUGCGAAGGCAGCUUACCAAGCUACUUCUGACGUUGAGGCACGAAAGCGUGGGGAGCAAACAGGAUUAGAUACCCCUGUAGUC
This 460-nucleotide ribosomal RNA is filed under the name uncultured bacterium. RNAcentral describes it as "partial 16S ribosomal RNA". It matches the Rfam family "Bacterial small subunit ribosomal RNA", at positions 338 to 795 of the family's 1533-position model. The record is from RNAcentral.